GAUGAACGCUGGCGGCGUGCUUAACACAUGCAAGUCGAACGAUGAAGCCCAGCUUGCUGGGUGGAUUAGUGGCGAACGGGUGAGUAACACGUGAGUAACCUGCCCUUGACUCUGGGAUAAGCCUGGGAAACUGGGUCUAAUACUGGAUAUGACUUCUCAUCGCAUGGUGGGGGGUGGAAAGAUUUAUUGGUCUUGGAUGGACUCGCGGCCUAUCAGCUUGUUGGUGAGGUAAUGGCUCACCAAGGCGACGACGGGUAGCCGGCCUGAGAGGGUGACCGGCCACACUGGGACUGAGCCACGGCCCAGACUCCUACGGGAGGCAGCAGUGGGGAAUAUUGCACAAUGGGAGCAAGCAUGAUGCAGCGACGCCGCGUGAGGGAUGACGGCCUUCGGGUUGUAAACCUCUUUCAGUAGGGAAGAAGCGAGAGUGACGGUACCUGCAGAAGAAGCGCCGGCUAACUACGUG
Molecule: ribosomal RNA, 466 nt
Filed under: uncultured bacterium
Lineage: Bacteria
Description: partial 16S ribosomal RNA
Rfam family: Bacterial small subunit ribosomal RNA
Source: RNAcentral